GGCGCCUUCGUCUAGUGGUCAGGACGCUGGCCUCUCACGCCGGUAACACGGGUUCGAAUCCCGUAGGCGCUA
Molecule: transfer RNA, 72 nt
Filed under: bacterium
Lineage: Bacteria
Description: tRNA-Glu
Rfam family: tRNA
About the family: Transfer RNA (tRNA) molecules are approximately 80 nucleotides in length. Their secondary structure includes four short double-helical elements and three loops (D, anti-codon, and T loops).
Source: RNAcentral